AACGCACCUUGCGCUCCUUGGUAUUCCGAGGAGCAUGCCUGUUUGAGUGUCAUGGAAUCAUCAACUCUCAUCUGUUAUGGAUGAGGGCUUGGACUUGGGGGUUUUGCUGGUGUCUGCCAGCUCCUCUUGAAUGCAUUAGCUUGAACCUCUGCUGUAUCGGCGUAAUUGCCGGCUCAGUUGAAAUACACGAGCAACCCAUUUGAAAUAAACGGCUUGACUCGGCGUAAUAAUUAUUUCGCUGAGGACGUUUUCUUCAAAAGUUAGAGGUGCUUCUAAUGCGCUAUUACAGCACUUUAAAUUUUAGACCUCAAAUCAGUCAGGACUACCCGCUGAACUUAA
Molecule: ribosomal RNA, 339 nt
Filed under: uncultured fungus
Lineage: Eukaryota; Fungi
Description: eukaryotic LSU rRNA
Rfam family: 5.8S ribosomal RNA (bases 1-52)
Source: RNAcentral